Molecule: ribosomal RNA, 594 nt
Filed under: uncultured Pseudozyma
Lineage: Eukaryota; Fungi; Basidiomycota; Ustilaginomycetes; Ustilaginales; Ustilaginaceae
Description: eukaryotic LSU rRNA
Rfam family: Eukaryotic large subunit ribosomal RNA
Source: RNAcentral
UAGUACGGCGAGUGAAGAGGGAAGAGCCCAAGAUUGAAAGCUGGCGUCUUCGGCGUCCGCAUUGUAAUCUCAAGAAGUGUUUUCCGCUUCGGACCAUGCCUAAGUCCCUUGGAAAAGGGCAUCAUAGAGGGUGAUAAUCCCGUACAUGGCAUGGAGCGCCCGAAGCUUUGUGAUACGCUUUCUAAGAGUCGAGUUGUUUGGGAAUGCAGCUCAAAAUGGGUGGUAAAUGCCAUCUAAGGCUAAAUAUUGGGGAGAGACCGAUAGCGAACAAGUACAGUGAUGGAAAGAUGAAAAGAACUUUGAAAAGAGAGUUAAACAGUACGUGAAAUUGCCAAAAGGGAAGGGUAGGAGGUCAGAGAUGCGGCCUGGGAUUCAGCCUUGCUUUUGCUUGGUGUUUUUCCCAGAUUGCAGGCCAACGUCGGUUUUGGGCACUGGAGAAGGGUAGGAGGAACGUGGCACCUCUCGGGGUGUGUUAUAGCCUCCUACUGGAUACAGCGACCGAGACCGAGGACAGCAGCGUACUCGCAAGAGCGGGCCUUCGGGCACCUUUACGCUUAGGGCGUUGGCAUAAUGGCCCUCUACCACCCGUCUUGA